AUUGAACGCUAGCGGGAUGCCUUACACAUGCAAGUCGAACGGCGUGGCGAACGGGUGAGUAAUGUAUCGGAACGUGCCCCGUAGCGGGGGAUAACUACGCGAAAGCGUAGCUAAUACCGCAUACUAUUGGAGCGGCCGCUAUCGGAUUAGCUAGUUGGUGGGGUAACGGCUCACCAAGGGGACGAGCCGUAGCCGGUGUGAGAGGACGACCAGCCACACUGGGACUGAGACACGGCCCAGACGCCUACGGGAGGGAGCAGUGGGGAAUUUUGGACAAUGGGGGGAACCCUGAUCCAGCCAUCCAGCGUGUGAGAUGAAGGCGUUCGGGUUGUAAAGCACGUUUGGCAGGAAAGCGGUACCUGCAGAAUAAGCACCGGCUAACUACGUGCCAGCAGCCGCGGUAAUUC
RNAcentral lists this ribosomal RNA (407 nucleotides) under uncultured bacterium. RNAcentral describes it as "partial 16S ribosomal RNA". It matches the Rfam family "Bacterial small subunit ribosomal RNA", at positions 29 to 526 of the family's 1533-position model. The record is from RNAcentral.